RNAcentral lists this ribosomal RNA (528 nucleotides) under uncultured bacterium. Its description in RNAcentral is "bacterial SSU rRNA". It matches the Rfam family "Bacterial small subunit ribosomal RNA", at positions 536 to 1059 of the family's 1533-position model. The record is from RNAcentral.
AAGCGUUACUCGGAAUCACUGGGCGUAAAGAGCAUGUAGGCGGGUGAAUAAGUUGGAAGUGAAAUCCUAUAGCUUAACUAUAGAACUGCUUCCAAAACUGUUCACCUAGAGUAUGGGAGAGGUAGAUGGAAUUUCUGGUGUAGGGGUAAAAUCCGUAGAGAUCAGAAGGAAUACCGAUUGCGAAGGCGAUCUACUGGAACAUUACUGACGCUCAGAUGCGAAAGCGUGGGGAGCAAACAGGAUUAGAUACCCUGGUAGUCCACGCCCUAAACGAUGUACACUAGUUGUUGCUAUACUAGAUAUGGCAGUAAUGCAGUUAACACUUUAAGUGUACCGCCUGGGGAGUACGGUCGCAAGAUUAAAACUCAAAGGAAUAGACGGGGACCCGCACAAGCGGUGGAGCAUGUGGUUUAAUUCGACGAUACGCGAAAAACCUUACCUGGCCUUGACAUAGUAGGAAUCUUUAAGAGAUUAGAGAGUGCUAGCUUGCUAGAACCUACAUACAGGUGCUGCACGGCUGUCGUCAGC